This is a non-coding RNA of Caenorhabditis elegans, 82 nucleotides long. The record is from Ensembl. NCBI's taxonomy places the organism in Eukaryota, Metazoa, Nematoda, Chromadorea, Rhabditida, Rhabditidae.
ACAAGUCAAUCCCAUGCCAAAUCGGUGGCAAGGUUCGAAAGAUGCUACCAGAUUAGGAUGAGAUUUACUCGUUUCAAUGACU